GGUGGCCGCCCUCUUAGACAUGCAAGUCGAGCGGUAACAGGGGGUGCUUGCACCCCGCUGACGAGCGGCGGACGGGUGAGUAAUGCUUAGGAAUCUGCCCAGUAGUGGGGGAUAGCCCGGGGAAACCCGGAUUAAUACCGCAUACGUCCUACGGGAGAAAGCAGGGGAUCUUCGGACCUUGCGCUACUGGAUGAGCCUAAGUCGGAUUAGCUAGUUGGUGGGGUAAAGGCCUACCAAGGCGACGAUCCGUAGCUGGUCUGAGAGGAUGAUCAGCCACAUCGGGACUGAGACACGGCCCGAACUCCUACGGGAGGCAGCAGUGGGGAAUAUUGGACAAUGGGGGCAACCCUGAUCCAGCCAUGCCGCGUGUGUGAAGAAGGCUUUCGGGUUGUAAAGCACUUUCAGCGAGGAGGAAGGCUCUGAAGUUAAUACCUUCAGGGAUUGACGUUACUCGCAGAAGAAGCACCGGCUAACUCCGUGCCAGCAGCCGCGGUAAUACGGAGGGUGCAAGCGUUAAUCGGAAUUACUGGGCGUAAAGCGCGCGUAGGUGGUUAGGUAAGCGAGAUGUGAAAGCCCCGGGCUUAACCUGGGAACGGCAUUUCGAACUGUCUGACUAGAGUGUGGUAGAGGGUAGUGGAAUUUCCUGUGUAGCGGUGAAAUGCGUAGAUAUAGGAAGGAACACCAGUGGCGAAGGCGGCUACCUGGACCAACACUGACACUGAGGUGCGAAAAGCGUGGGGAGCAAACAGGAUUAGAUACCCUGGUAGUCCACGCCGUAAACGAUGUCAACUAGCCGUUGGGACUCUUGAAGUCUUAGUGGCGCAGCUAACGCACUAAGUUGACCGCCUGGGGAGUACGGCCGCAAGGUUAAAACUCAAAUGAAUUGACGGGGCCCCGCACAAGCGGUGGAGCAUGUGGUUUAAUUCGACGCAACGCGAAGAACCUUACCUGGCCUUGACAUCCAGAGAACUUUCCAGAGAUGGAUUGGUGCCUUCGGGAACUCUGAGACAGGUGCUGCAUGGCCGUCGUCAGCUCGUGUCGUGAGAUGUUGGGUUAAGUCCCGUAACGAGCGCAACCCCUAUCCCUGGUUGCUAGCAGGUAAUGCUGAGAACUCCAGGGAGACUGCCGGUGACAAACCGGAGGAAGGUGGGGAUGACGUCAGGUCAUCAUGGCCCUUACGGCCAGGGCUACACACGUGCUACAAUGGCGCGUACAGAGGGCUGCCAACUCGCGAGAGUGCGCCAAUCCCUUAAAACGCGUCGUAGUCCGGAUCGGAGUCUGCAACUCGACUCCGUGAAGUCGGAAUCGCUAGUAAUCGCGAAUCAGAAUGUCGCGGUGAAUACGUUCCCGGGCCUUGUACACACCGCCCGUCACACCAUGGGAGUGGAUUGCACCAGAAGUAGUUAGUCUAACCUUCGGGAGGACGAUUACCACGGUGUGGUUCAUGACUGGGGGAAGUCGAACAAGGAAACCAGGA
RNAcentral lists this ribosomal RNA (1477 nucleotides) under Marinobacter alkaliphilus. RNAcentral describes it as "bacterial SSU rRNA". It matches the Rfam family "Bacterial small subunit ribosomal RNA". The record is from RNAcentral. Lineage: Bacteria; Pseudomonadati; Pseudomonadota; Gammaproteobacteria; Pseudomonadales; Marinobacteraceae.